RNAcentral lists this long non-coding RNA (554 nucleotides) under Androctonus crassicauda. Lineage: Eukaryota; Metazoa; Arthropoda; Arachnida; Scorpiones; Buthidae. The record is from RNAcentral.
GUUUGGUCUGUUAUGAUGUACAGUUUUUGUCUGUUAUGAUUGUUCUGUCAUAGUUAUUAUUAUUAUUAUUAUUAUUAUAUUAGUUAUAUAUAGUUUAGUGUUGAUCGUUUCCACAUUUCUCACUUCACUUUUGGACUCCUGACAUGUCGUUUACCCACAUCGAUCAUAGUUUUUUGGCCACAAUCCUGACAUGUGUCAUUUAAACAUUCUUCACCCUGUUGGAGCAACAUUGUCUAAACUGCUUCUGGUAUCACACCUGACAUUUCAACAUUAUAGACGGGCACGCACUCAGUUUUUGCAACACUCUGAUAUCACAAUUUGGUGUCAGAAAUUCAAUGUCAAAAAGACAGAAAUUUCAUCAAUAAGAUACUCCACAGACCCCAUAUAUGAGAUUAUCAAAAACACAAUUUUGUUUUAUAUGAAGAUUUAUCCAUUUAACAAAGUAAUUGCUAUUUUUGGGUAACAGGUGGUCCUCUAAAUAAAACAAGACAUAAAUGAAAAAAUUGAGUUAUAUUUUCAAAAAAAAAUUGAUAAAAACUAAAUUAAUAUGCCAC